UAAAAAAUAAAAAAGAAUAAUCUAAAAUAUGAAAGGGCCCAAAAUUUUAACCCUAACUCCUCAUUUUUCUUAAGAUAGCCGUCAACUAACCUAUCAUUCUUCAUCCAUAACUUCCCCUCUUCUUUCUCGUACUUCCUCCCUCCUCUGAAACUCUAAAUCCUUUCUCUUCUACCUUCAUCCUUCAAUGGAUCAAUGUCCUAAAAACUCCGAGCCGAGGUCUGAUUAACCUUCUCUCCGUCGUCGUCUUCCUCUAUUUACAAGUGUCCUGUCCAUACCGUCCGAUUAACUCCUUUAAUUUCUCUUUUACCUUCAUCCUUCAAUGUUUUGUUUUGCUCUGUUUAUGGUCGCGCGUUAGAAGCCGAGUACCGCGAACUCAAAACGAUGCGUUUUAUGGUUUCUUUCAAUUUGGGGCGACAGACUGAGAGAGAUUGCUAAUGGCUCACUAUGGGAGAUUUAUUGGUGGUUGAGGUUAGUGGAGGCACUGCGGUGGUUGAGGUUGGUGGAAAGCGUUGCGGUUGUUGAGGUUGGUGAAAGCGCAACUGCGGUUGAAGGCUUGAAGCACAUUUUUUUUUUUUUUUUGGAUUUUAGGGGAAACAGUACUAGCAUAUUGAUAGUUAUGCUAAUUGAGUUGUAUCAAUGUACUUGAGAUGUAAUUUUUUUUAGGCAUGAGAUGUAAUUAAUUUUUUUUUAAAUAGAUGAUAUGUAAUUAAUUGAAUAAGAUAAUAAAGUUUGUUUCAAUUUGGCA
Chenopodium quinoa (quinoa) is the source of this 745-nucleotide long non-coding RNA. RefSeq lists it as uncharacterized. The record is from RefSeq and is a predicted model, not a curated record. Lineage: Eukaryota; Viridiplantae; Streptophyta; Magnoliopsida; Caryophyllales; Amaranthaceae. The transcript has 2 exons.